ACCUCUGCACGGUAUCUGUCUAAUAAAGCUUAACCACCUACCAUCUCCCAGCAGACCAACAGUGUUCUCUCUUGUACUGGACACUGUCUGUCUGACUGGCUCCUAUCAACCUCCUCUCUAGGAUAGAGAAAGUGGGAGUUUGGACUGAACUCUGUGCUCCCAGGGAUGUUUCUCAAUACGUUUCAUGUGGCUUCCUCUCCCUCUCCUCCUGUGAGUGUUAGUGGAAGAAAGACAAAGGUUCAUCUCAAGUCUUCAGUAGCUUCCUCUACUUUUCCCUCCUCCCCCUUGUCUUUCACCCAUCCAGUUCUUUUACAGACUGAUACAGGUAGAGAAGGUGAGGAUCCUUCAGGCAGAGGAGGUGAGGAUCAUUCAGGUAGAGGAGGAGAGGAUCAUUCAGGUAGAGGAGGAGAGGAUCCUUCAGGUAGAGGAGGAGAGGAUCAUUCAGGUAGAGGAGGAGAGGAUCAUUCAGGUAGAGGAGGAGAGGAUCAUUCAGGUAGAGGAGGAGAGGAUCAUUCAGGUAGAGGAGGAGAGGAUCAUUCAGGUAGAGGAGGAGAGGAUCAUUCAGGUAGAGGAGGUGAGGAUCAUUCAGGUAGAGGAGGAGAGGAUCAUUCAGGUAGAGGAGGAGAGGAUCAUUCAGGUAGAGGAGGUGAGGAUCAUUCAGGUAGAGGAGGAGAGGAUCAUUCAGGUAGAGGAGGUGAGGAUCAUUCAGGUAGAGGAGGAGAGGAUCAUUCAGGUAGAGGAGGUGAGGAUCAUUCAGGUAGAGGAGGAGAGGAUCAUUCAGGUAGAGGAGGUGAGGAUCAUUCAGGUAGAGGAGGAGAGGAUCAUUCAGGUAGAGGAGGAGAGGAUCAUUCAGGUAGAGGAGGUGAGGAUCAUUCAGGUAGAGGAGGAGAGGAUCAUUCAGGUAGAGGAGGUGAGGAUCAUUCAGGUAGAGGAGGAGAGGAUCAUUCAGGUAGAGGAGGUGAGGAUCAUUCAGGUAGAGGAGGAGAGGA
Oncorhynchus keta (chum salmon) is the source of this 989-nucleotide long non-coding RNA. RefSeq lists it as uncharacterized. The record is from RefSeq and is a predicted model, not a curated record. NCBI's taxonomy places the organism in Eukaryota, Metazoa, Chordata, Actinopteri, Salmoniformes, Salmonidae. The transcript has 5 exons.